Molecule: ribosomal RNA, 500 nt
Filed under: uncultured bacterium
Lineage: Bacteria
Description: partial 16S ribosomal RNA
Rfam family: Bacterial small subunit ribosomal RNA
Source: RNAcentral
AUUGAACGCUGGCGGAAUGCUUUACACAUGCAAGUCGAACGGCAGCACGGACUUCGGUCUGGUGGCGAGUGGCGAACGGGUGAGUAAUGUAUCGGAACGCGCCCAGUCGUGGGGGAUAACGUAGUGAAAAUUACGCUAAUACCGCAUACGAUCUAUGGAUGAAAGCGGGGGAUCGCAAGACCUCGCGCGAUUGGAGCGGCCGAUAUCAGAUUAGGUAGUUGGUGGGGUAAAGGCCCACCAAGCCAACGAUCUGUAGCUGGUCUGAGAGGACGACCAGCCACACUGGAACUGAGACACGGUCCAGACUCCUACGGGAGGCAGCAGUGGGGAAUUUUGGACAAUGGGCGAAAGCCUGAUCCAGCCAUUCCGCGUGCAGGAUGAAGGCCCUCGGGUUGUAAACUACUUUUGUACAGAACGAAAAGGUUUCUACUAAUACUAGGAGCUCAUGACGGUACUGUAAGAAUAAGCACCGGCUAACUACGUGCCAGCCGCCGCUGUAA